UACGUAGGGCGCAAGCGUGUCCGGAAUUAUUGGGCGUAAAGAGCUCGUAGGCGGUCUGUCGCGUCGGCUGUGAAAACCCGAGGCUCAACCUCGGGCCUGCAGUCGAUACGGGCAGACUAGAGUGCUGUAGGGGAGACUGGAAUUCCUGGUGUAGCGGUGAAAUGCGCAGAUAUCAGGAGGAACACCGGUGGCGAAGGCGGGUCUCUGGGCAGUAACUGACGCUGAGGAGCGAAAGUGUGGGGAGCAAACAGG
This 252-nucleotide ribosomal RNA is filed under the name uncultured bacterium. Its description in RNAcentral is "partial 16S ribosomal RNA". It matches the Rfam family "Bacterial small subunit ribosomal RNA", at positions 524 to 776 of the family's 1533-position model. The record is from RNAcentral.